RNAcentral lists this transfer RNA (73 nucleotides) under Agromyces larvae. Its description in RNAcentral is "Agromyces sp. CFWR-12 tRNA-OTHER". It matches the Rfam family "tRNA". Rfam says of the family: Transfer RNA (tRNA) molecules are approximately 80 nucleotides in length. Their secondary structure includes four short double-helical elements and three loops (D, anti-codon, and T loops). Further hydrogen bonds mediate the characteristic L-shaped molecular structure. tRNAs have two regions of fundamental functional importance: the anti-codon, which is responsible for specific mRNA codon recognition, and the 3' end, to which the tRNAs corresponding amino acid is attached (by aminoacyl-tRNA synthetases). tRNAs cope with the degeneracy of the genetic code in two manners: having more than one tRNA (with a specific anti-codon) for a particular amino acid; and 'wobble' base-pairing, i.e. permitting non-standard base-pairing at the 3rd anti-codon position. Lineage: Bacteria; Bacillati; Actinomycetota; Actinomycetes; Micrococcales; Microbacteriaceae. The record is from RNAcentral.
GCCCUCGUAGCUCAGUACGGUAGAGCGCGCUAGCGCGGCGAGGUCGCGGGUUCAAAUCCCGCCGAGGGCUCCA